RNAcentral lists this transfer RNA (54 nucleotides) under Calisoga longitarsis. RNAcentral describes it as "tRNA-Ser". Lineage: Eukaryota; Metazoa; Arthropoda; Arachnida; Araneae; Nemesiidae. The record is from RNAcentral.
GGGUUCAAUAAUGGUAUUUUGAAAGUACUAGAGAAGGAAUUUCCUUUGAACCGG